Molecule: ribosomal RNA, 301 nt
Filed under: uncultured bacterium
Lineage: Bacteria
Description: partial 16S ribosomal RNA
Rfam family: Bacterial small subunit ribosomal RNA
Source: RNAcentral
CAGUAGCCGCGGUAAUACGUAGGGUGCGAGCGUUAAUCGGAAUUACUGGGCGUAAAGCGUGCGUAGGCGGUGAGUUAAGUCUGCUGUGAAAUCCCCGGGCUCAACCUGGGAAUGGCAGUGGAUACUGGCUCGCUAGAGUGUGUCAGAGGAUGGUGGAAUUCCCGGUGUAGCGGUGAAAUGCGUAGAGAUCGGGAGGAACAUCAGUGGCGAAGGCGGCCAUCUGGGACAACACUGACGCUGAGGCACGAAAGCGUGGGGAGCAAACAGGAUUAGAUACCCCGGUAGUCCCUGUCUCUUAUAC